This 1143-nucleotide long non-coding RNA is filed under the name Setaria italica (foxtail millet). Its description in RNAcentral is "long non-coding RNA (SITA_LNC004002)". Lineage: Eukaryota; Viridiplantae; Streptophyta; Magnoliopsida; Poales; Poaceae. The record is from RNAcentral.
CGGAUCCUGCAUAUCCUGGCCUGGCCAGGCUGUACCUUUUUCAUGUUUCAAAUGUGCCGGCGCUGAGCCCCUGGGUCUUCAGAUAGCCGUACGUGUACAGGGGUUUGCCCUUAAUAUCGCCAGAGGGGGCAAUUGGCAAAGGAGGAAGCGUAUUCACGUGGCCAGCGCGUGCACCCUAGCGUAGUACGUCGCCGCCUGAACUCUCGAACGAAUCUAGAUAGCGUUUGGUUCGUACUAAGGUAAUGUAAAUGUAAAGGGAAUCAGAUUACAGUGUAUUUGGAGGUGGAAUAGGUGAUUGCCCUCUUUGUUUGGUUGCACUCUGGUAACGUAAUCAGAUUACUGUGUGGGUGCUAUAUCUGAUUACGGUAGGGGAGGAGGAGUAACAAGCUUGUAUAGAUAUUAUUUAGGUAAGGGAUUCGAUUACAGUGUCAAUUGAUUACAAACCACCGUAACCAAACAUAUGUAAUGGGAUUCGUUACCUUCAGUAAUCAGAUUACGUUACAUUUGAGCCAACCAAACACUACCCUAGUUUGAACGGGCGGCGAAGGAGGAACCAGUUCUGGCCGGGGUUGCCGAUUGGCCCGCAUGCGAUCGAAUCAAAAAGCCCCACAUGCCGUGGAGUACAAAAACGAAAGUCACUCACCCCGAUCGCAUUAUUGUAGUGACAAAAUUGAAGGCGCUUUCCCUCCUCUUUUGGCGGAAGAUACUGGUUAGAAUCAGAGCCAUUUUACUGUUUAUUUUAAUUCCAAAUAUUAAAUAAAAUAUGACAUAAAAUGUUGCCAUAACAGGAGCAUGGAACUUUGUGUCUAUAGCAAUGCAUGCAAUGGAAACUUACAAGAAAUGAACCAGAAAGUUCAUGAGGAAGUACCCUGAACGGGGUCAGUUCUGGAGAAACUGAAUAUGCUGUUACCCGACAUCCGUGCAAUUGCGUUUCCAGGAAGUAGUUGUUUGCAACGAGCAGUCGCGCAGAUGCGCUCCCCAAAAACUUGAUCGUCCUUCUACUCCUUGGAUGCAGAAUCUCUGGCAAGGGCAUAGCUUCGGAGACCUGCUCUUCCGGUGAAAUCCGUGCACACAGAUCGCCGGAACAGGGACAGUAAAAACGCAGCGCAGCUGUGGAGGAGCUCUGGUGGUGUGUUGUACGCG